Aplysia californica (California sea hare) is the source of this 366-nucleotide long non-coding RNA. RefSeq lists it as uncharacterized. The record is from RefSeq and is a predicted model, not a curated record. NCBI's taxonomy places the organism in Eukaryota, Metazoa, Mollusca, Gastropoda, Aplysiida, Aplysiidae. The transcript is spliced from 2 exons.
GUAUUCAGAUACCACUUUGGAAUAUUUUUUUUGCUCUAAGAGGUUGAGUUGCUUGAACACGUUCGAUUUACAGGCGAAUUUCGGAGGUCUCUUUCCAGAGCGUUCCCGACCCGAGACGUUUUACAUACGCGAACGUUGUGGCGCUUAGACCGACGCUGAGAAGACUCACUCUCAAAGGAGUCAUGGAUUCAACAUAUGGAAAGGACGCCUCGUGAACCAGCUGGUAUGAGUCCGUGUUGUGGACAACAUUGUAAGAGGAGCCGUCAUACACUGAAACAACGCUGGAGGGGACGGUGAAAGUCAUCUUGCUGUGGGAACAGAACCUAAAUUAAUGGAAAACGAAAAUGGAUAAACGGUCAUAACCAU